RNAcentral lists this ribosomal RNA (109 nucleotides) under Olea europaea subsp. europaea. RNAcentral describes it as "PK-G12rRNA". It matches the Rfam family "Eukaryotic large subunit ribosomal RNA", at positions 2661 to 2769 of the family's 3401-position model. Lineage: Eukaryota; Viridiplantae; Streptophyta; Magnoliopsida; Lamiales; Oleaceae. The record is from RNAcentral.
UCCUAAGGGGGACUCAUGGAGAACAGAAAUCUCCAGUAGAGCAAAAGGGCAAAAGUCCCCUUGAUUUUGAUUUUCAGUGUGAAUACAAACCAUGAAAGUGUGGCCUAUC